Molecule: ribosomal RNA, 250 nt
Filed under: uncultured bacterium
Lineage: Bacteria
Description: partial 16S ribosomal RNA
Rfam family: Bacterial small subunit ribosomal RNA
Source: RNAcentral
UACGGAGGGUGCGAGCGUUAAUCGGAAUGACUGGGCGUAAAGGGCAUGUAGGCGGAUAGUUAAGUUAGAUGUGAAAGCCCCGGGCUCAACCUGGGAAUUGCAUUUAAAACUGGUUAUCUGGAGUAUUGUAGAGGAAGGUAGAAUUCCAUGUGUAGCGGUGAAAUGCGUAGAGAUGUGGAGGAAUACCGGUGGCGAAGGCGGCCUUCUGGACAAAUACUGACGCUGAGAUGCGAAAGCGUGGGGAGCAAAC